CAUUCUAGCAAAAGCAGGGGCCAUUACACAC
This 31-nucleotide non-coding RNA is filed under the name Homo sapiens (human). The record is from RNAcentral. Lineage: Eukaryota; Metazoa; Chordata; Mammalia; Primates; Hominidae.